GCGUGAAUGGUUUAGUGGUAAAAUUCUCCGUUGCCAUCCGCAACAGAUUCGGGGAGCCCUGGGUUCGAUUCCCAGUUCACGCA
Molecule: transfer RNA, 83 nt
Filed under: Trichoderma longibrachiatum
Lineage: Eukaryota; Fungi; Ascomycota; Sordariomycetes; Hypocreales; Hypocreaceae
Also listed under: 3 other names
Description: tRNA-Gly
Rfam family: tRNA
About the family: Transfer RNA (tRNA) molecules are approximately 80 nucleotides in length. Their secondary structure includes four short double-helical elements and three loops (D, anti-codon, and T loops).
Source: RNAcentral